This is a long non-coding RNA of Gallus gallus (chicken), 693 nucleotides long. The record is from Ensembl. NCBI's taxonomy places the organism in Eukaryota, Metazoa, Chordata, Aves, Galliformes, Phasianidae.
GGAGGAUCGGCAUGUUACCAAUCUCCCCGGAAGAUAUCUAGCAGAUAAGAGCAGACAACACCUGGCGACACUGCAGCCUCAAUCAACUAUCCGAGGAGUGUAACAGCGAGGUCUAUUUAUAUGGGAUGGCGCAAAAGAUUUUUGAGACCUUCUGGAUCUGGCCCCAGAUCAUCCACGACACCCAUGUGACUGAGAGACUAGCAUGUGGGUUGGCAAAAAACACAAAUCGCACAUCUCCAGCUCUUACAUCCAUAGCUCAGGCAAUGGCCGCCCUUGAUUCAGGACUAACCCAGACUAAGAUGGCGAUUGACCUCCUUCUAGCUCCCACCGGCCUAGGCUGUGCAGAAAUGGAAGAGCAGCUGGGAAUGGAAGGCUUUUGCUGUCUUGACUUCAGCGCCAACGCUAUAACUGCUAUCGACAAAGUAAGAAAGGAGGCCAAAGACAUUGCCAAAUCGGUACUAAAGAUUGGAAUAGUUCUGCUUCAUGAAACUGAAUUUCUGGACUUGUAACAUGCUUCAUACUGUGGAUUCCAAAAAACUUUAACAGAAUUUGAAAAGAUAGAAUCAAUAUUGGGAUACUGGUGACUGACUGAAUAGACUGUAUUCUGUUCACACAGUACUAUGUACAUUUUGCCUUUACACUAGACGUUUAAUUUUAUGAAUUAAAAGUCAUGAGUUUAGCAAAGAAAUCUAG